UGGGCAGCUCAGUUGGUAGAGCAUGAGACUCUUAAUCGCAAUGUCAUGGGUUCAAGACCCAAACUGGGCAAAA
Non-coding RNA from Podarcis lilfordi (Lilford's wall lizard), 73 nucleotides. The record is from the annotation of a GenBank genome assembly. Lineage: Eukaryota; Metazoa; Chordata; Lepidosauria; Squamata; Lacertidae.